CUCAUGUACAAGAUCAUAUGCAUGAUAGUUAUUUUUUGCUUUUUCACAUGUUAAGUCUGGAGGAAGAGAGUCCCUCUGAGACUGGUAACCUUGGUGCCAUUAAUGUUCCAUUUAAACUAUUAUAGGCCAAUACACACAAGAAAUAAAAGAACAUGAGCAGGUUUCUUUCACCUUGUUGAUGGUGCUGUUGAUGGUGCUGCUAUUGCUGUUGAUGGUGCUGCUAUUGCUGUUGAUGGUGCUGCUAUUGCUGUUGAUGGUGCUGCUAUUGCUGUUGACAUAGAGCUGGGUUAAAAGGAAGAUGAGGAGCAUCCAUAAUCUUUGCUGAACCUAUGAGAUGGACAAGGAGGAAAGAGAAGAAGAAACUCUGACCGUUGGAUUACAGUGUAUCAAAAUAUCAAGUCAUUCUAAGAUUAUUAGAGACCCACUUCAAAUGCUUGCAAUAUACUGGACUUGGAUACAGGUACUCCAUGUCUAGAGGGUGAUUUUAAAACAGGUGAUUAGGUCAACCACUUGAAAUCAAUAAGAGUAAUCAUCCUUUGAUGGGUAUCAUGAGUUUUGAAAUAGAUAAAGAGAAGAUGUGGACAUUUGAUGUGUGGCUGAAUUGAUUUGAACUAAGUGCAUGAAGUCAAUUUCUCUCUCUCUCUCUCUCACACACACACAUAUACACAUGCAGGUAUAUAUAUAUAGAUAAAUAGCUAUUUAUAGCAGUGAUCUUAAAAUAACUACUUAGUUUUAUGUAAAACAUG
This is a long non-coding RNA of Octopus bimaculoides (California two-spot octopus), 746 nucleotides long. RefSeq lists it as uncharacterized. Lineage: Eukaryota; Metazoa; Mollusca; Cephalopoda; Octopoda; Octopodidae. The record is from RefSeq and is a predicted model, not a curated record.